This 496-nucleotide ribosomal RNA is filed under the name uncultured bacterium. RNAcentral describes it as "partial 16S ribosomal RNA". It matches the Rfam family "Bacterial small subunit ribosomal RNA", at positions 28 to 507 of the family's 1533-position model. The record is from RNAcentral.
GAUGAACGCUGGCGGCGUGCCUAAUACAUGCAAGUCGAGCGAACGGACGAGAAGCUUGCUUCUCUGAUGUUAGCGGCGGACGGGUGAGUAACACGUGGAUAACCUACCUAUAAGACUGGGAUAACUUCGGGAAACCGUAGCUAAUACCGGAUAAUAUUUUGAACCGCAUGGUUCAAAAGUGAAAGACGGUCUUGCUGUCACUUAUAGAUGGAUCCGCGCUGCAUUAGCUAGUUGGUAAGGUACGGCUUACCAAGGCAACGAUGCAUAGCCGACCUGAGAGGGUGAUCGGCCACACUGGAACUGAGACACGGUCCAGACUCCUACGGGAGGCAGCAGUAGGGAAUCUUCCGCAAUGGGCGAAAGCCUGACGGAGCAACGCCGCGUGAGUGAUGAAGGUCUUCGGAUCGUAAAACUCUGUUAUUAGGGAAGAACAUAUGUGUAAGUAACUGUGCACAUCUUGACGGUACCUAAUCAGAAAGCCACGGCUAACUACGUG